Molecule: non-coding RNA, 201 nt
Organism: Vicia faba (fava bean)
Lineage: Eukaryota; Viridiplantae; Streptophyta; Magnoliopsida; Fabales; Fabaceae
Source: the annotation of a GenBank genome assembly
AUGCUGUUAGGGUUAAAAGCGUGUGACGUUACAACUUCUAAAAAAGGCUUGAUCUUCUUCUCUCUUUCAUCACAAACGACAUUGCAUCCACCAUCUCUGUUCGACCUUCGCCCCUCAGCCUCCUAUUCGUCUGCCAUGGCCCACCGUUCCCUUAUCUAUCUUAAUCCAAACCCUAACCUAUUUCCUUUCAAUUUCCUCUAA